UUUAAUGUUUGAUGUUCUAACGUGGACCCGUGAUCCGGGUUGCGGACAGUGUCUGGUGGGUAGUUUGACUGGGGCGGUCUCCUCCUAAAGAGUAACGGAGGAGCACGAAGGUUGGCUAAUCCUGGUCGGACAUCAGGAGGUUAGUGCAAUGGCAUAAGCCAGCUUGACUGCGAGCGUGACGGCGCGAGCAGGUGCGAAAGCAGGUCAUAGUGAUCCGGUGGUUCUGAAUGGAAGGGCCAUCGCUCAACGGAUAAAAGGUACUCCGGGGAUAACAGGCUGAUACCGCCCAAGAGUUCAUAUCGACGGCGGUGUUUGGCACCUCGAUGUCGGCUCAUCACAUCCUGGGGCUGAAGUAGGUCCCAAGGGUAUGGCUGUUCGCCAUUUAAAGUGGUACGCGAGCUGGGUUUAGAACGUCGUGAGACAGUUCGGUCCCUAUCUGCCGUGGGCGCUGGAGAACUGAGGGGGGCUGCUCCUAGUACGAGAGGACCGGAGUGGACGCAUCACUGGUGUUCGGGUUGUCAUGCCAAUGGCACUGCCCGGUAGCUAAAUGCGGAAGAGAUAAGUGCUGAAAGCAUCUAAGCACGAAACUUGCCCCGAGAUGAGUUCUCCCUGAGACUUUAGGUCUCCUGAAGGAACGUUGAAGACGACGACGUUGAUAGGCCGGGUGUGUAAGCGCAGCGAUGCGUUGAGCUAACCGGUACUAAUGAACCGUGAGGCUUAACCUUACA
RNAcentral lists this ribosomal RNA (728 nucleotides) under Salmonella enterica. RNAcentral describes it as "partial 23S ribosomal RNA". It matches the Rfam family "Bacterial large subunit ribosomal RNA", at positions 2206 to 2925 of the family's 2925-position model. Lineage: Bacteria; Pseudomonadati; Pseudomonadota; Gammaproteobacteria; Enterobacterales; Enterobacteriaceae. The record is from RNAcentral.